Molecule: ribosomal RNA, 402 nt
Filed under: uncultured bacterium
Lineage: Bacteria
Description: bacterial SSU rRNA
Rfam family: Bacterial small subunit ribosomal RNA
Source: RNAcentral
AGGGAAUAUUGCGCAAUGGGGGAAACCCUGACGCAGCGACGCCGCGUGAGUGAUGAAGGCCUUCGGGUCGUAAAGCUCUGUUGCAAGGGAAAAAUAAAUGAUUGUACCUUGCGAGGAAGGAUCGGCUAACUUCGUGCCAGCAGCCGCGGUAAGACGAGGGAUCCUAGCGUUGUUCGGAAUCAUUGGGCGUAAAGCGGGUGUAGGUGGCUUUGUAAGUCAGAUGUGAAAGCCCAGGGCUCAACCCUGGAAGUGCAUUUGAUACUGCGAAGCUUGAGUGCUGGAGAGGCUAUUAGAAUACCUGGUGUAGUGGUGAAAUACGUAGAUAUCAGGUGGAAUACCGGAGGCGAAGGCGGAUAGCUGGCCAGACACUGACACUCAGACCCGAAAGCGUGGGGAUCAAAC